GAAGGUGUUGGAUCCAGGUGAAAUGGCUCAUUGUGAGAGCAAUCUGGCAAUUUACUGCCCAUAUGAUGCAAGUAAACAUGGUGGUUCCUACAGCAGUCAUAUCCGCAGUUUGGCCGCCUGAGCGGAAUGCCUGGUCAUAAAAUAUGAUGAGAUUGAGGAAGAAAGUAACUAGAGAUGAGUAGAGAGCGUUCCCCAUCCAUCCGAAAAUCCGAGGCCAGUCAAAGAACAAGUUUCGAGGUCCUU
This 243-nucleotide unclassified non-coding RNA is filed under the name Hevea brasiliensis (rubber tree). The record is from RNAcentral. Lineage: Eukaryota; Viridiplantae; Streptophyta; Magnoliopsida; Malpighiales; Euphorbiaceae.